Hemicordylus capensis (graceful crag lizard) is the source of this 1508-nucleotide long non-coding RNA. RefSeq lists it as uncharacterized. The record is from RefSeq and is a predicted model, not a curated record. NCBI's taxonomy places the organism in Eukaryota, Metazoa, Chordata, Lepidosauria, Squamata, Cordylidae. The transcript is spliced from 5 exons.
UCAAAUGGCCUCUGCAAGACCCAAAUCUAGAUUUUUCCCAGAUCUAGGGAGUCAGAAGAAUGCAAAGUUGUUGGCAAGGGACCCGAGCAUUUAAAAAACAGAUAUAAAUGGCACAAAAAUCUGUGAUGUUGCAGUUAGGAACAAGCAUGUAUGAACAAUGCCAUAGCCCGAGAAGCAACUGGGAUGAAACCAGAGCUUAACAUGCAGCACUCUAUGACAAACAUGGCAGCUGGCUGCUGAGAGCAGCAGAGAAAGGGAAGUGCCGACAAACAAGCAAACACCAAGUGGCAGCAACAACCACCACUGCUUCCCUAGGCUCAUGUGCCAACACAAAUGAAUAUCUGCACCCACCUCCUCCUCCUCUUCUGAGGCAACAGCACUUGGUACUGAGAGACUCAGCAUGCAACGUCCUACUUCCUCAUAUACUGUAGAAAGGCUAGGAUGAAAGGAAGGAAGCAAAAACGGAAAUCAUGAAACCUUUUGAUGUUUCUUCUUGGGAAGAAAUCUAACAUUCUCUUUUGAAUUUCACCUUGGAGAAAUUUUGGUUCCAAUCCUAGGAAUGAGAAGGUAGUUCCUUGUCCCAAAGAGAAUAAGAGAAACACAAGGAAGAUGGCAAAUUCUCUGCUGGGUUGAAUCAGGACAGUUGCUCUCCCCUUGCAAAUAUAUGAGAACCGCCAUUUUAAAAGAGGCUUCUUUUCUCAGCUAGCAAACGUAGAUGAUCACAAGAUAUGGCAAGGUAUGGAUGCUCCCAAGAACCUGAAUAUAGUCCAACUCACAGAAACAGGCUAUGGUUCAUAUAAAGUACGUAUGUAUUUCAGAAAUUGUGUUCAUCAGUUGGCUAUCUCCCUUUUCACUAACCGACACUGAAAUCUUAAAUUUAAUUAAAUAGAAAUGUUUAGGAGUAAAUAGCCUAUGGACUACAGCCUAAGCACUUAAACAGUCAAAAGGAAAUAUUACUGUAUAUCAAUAUGGGUGACUUUCCCCCUCAGAAUAAUUGAUUAGGGUAAGUGAGAACCAAACUAAACAGAUUAUAUAGUGGUCCAAAUAGUUUCUUCAAUGCGUUGCCAUGCUCUAGAGAUGUGGAUAAAUUGUUUACAACACAGUGCCUUCAGCAAACAUUCUUCCCUAGUGGGCAUUAUUGAUUAAAAAUCCACAUUUGUAAUCUGCAUUGAAAGAAUUAAUCCAUUAAUCGCAUUAGUUAAUCUUGCAGCUUUCAGCCUUAGCUUCUAUGUGGCUUGUUUUUCUUUAUGGCAAUAAACCUGAAUGUGCUUUUUUUUUGGUGAGAACACAACUUUUGUUGUUAAUAAGAUGAUGUCAUGAAAUGUUGAGAACCUCUGCUUCUGUUUGGUAGACUGUUUAAAAAAAUUUAAACUGAGACCUCCCACACACAGGAUUUGUGAUCACACCGCAAGGAAGCAGCUCCCACAAUGUGGUGUGUCUGUGGUGUGUGUAAAGCUCACCAAAAUGAUGCAAAAUGAAGGCCUGGAAGGAGAAGGGAGCAGACCAUA